RNAcentral lists this ribosomal RNA (384 nucleotides) under Spiroplasma endosymbiont of Nesidiocoris tenuis. RNAcentral's name for it is "bacterial SSU rRNA". It matches the Rfam family "Bacterial small subunit ribosomal RNA", at positions 378 to 755 of the family's 1533-position model. Lineage: Bacteria; Bacillati; Mycoplasmatota; Mollicutes; Entomoplasmatales; Spiroplasmataceae. The record is from RNAcentral.
AAAGCCUGAUGGAGCAAUGCCGCGUGACUGAAGACGGUCUUCGGAUUGUAAAGGUCUGUUGUAAGGGAAGAACAGUAAGUAUAGGAAAUGAUACUUAUUUGACGGUACCUUACCAGAAAGCCACGGCUAACUAUGUGCCAGCAGCCGCGGUAAUACAUAGGUGGCAAGCGUUAUCCGGAUUUAUUGGGCGUAAAGCGUGCGCAGACGGUUUAACAAGUUUGGGGUCAAAUCCUGGAGCUUAACUCCAGUUCGCCUUGAAAACUGUUAAACUAGAGUGUAGGAGAGGUCGAUGGAAUUCCAUGUGUAGCGGUGAAAUGCGUAGAUAUAUGGAGGAACACCAGUGGCGAAGGCGGUCGACUGGCCUAUCACUGACGUUUAGGCACG